GAUGAACGCUGGCGGCGUGCCUAAUACAUGCAAGUAGAACGCUGAAGGAAGGAGCUUGCUCUUUCCGGAUGAGUUGCGAACGGGUGAGUAACGCGUAGGUAACCUGCCUGGUAGCGGGGGAUAACUAUUGGAAACGAUAGCUAAUACCGCAUAACAGUAGAUGUUGCAUGAUAUCUACUUAAAAGGUGCAAUUGCACCACUACCAGAUGGACCUGCGUUGUAUUAGCUAGUUGGUGAGGUAACGGCUCACCAAGGCGACGAUACAUAGCCGACCUGAGAGGGUGAUCGGCCACACUGGGACUGAGACACGGCCCAGACUCCUACGGGAGGCAGCAGUAGGGAAUCUUCGGCAAUGGACGGAAGUCUGACCGAGCAACGCCGCGUGAGUGAAGAAGGUUUUCGGAUCGUAAAGCUCUGUUGUAAGGGAAGAACGAGUGUGAGAGUGGAAAGUUCACACUGUGACGGUAUCUUACCAGAAAGGGACGGCUAACUACGUG
This 497-nucleotide ribosomal RNA is filed under the name uncultured bacterium. Its description in RNAcentral is "partial 16S ribosomal RNA". It matches the Rfam family "Bacterial small subunit ribosomal RNA", at positions 28 to 507 of the family's 1533-position model. The record is from RNAcentral.